This 544-nucleotide long non-coding RNA is filed under the name Phoenix dactylifera (date palm). Its description in RNAcentral is "long non-coding RNA (PDAC_LNC009941)". Lineage: Eukaryota; Viridiplantae; Streptophyta; Magnoliopsida; Arecales; Arecaceae. The record is from RNAcentral.
UAUGGAUGUAAAUAUCCCUCAGACCUGAGAUCACCACAGUGAUUAGCAAGCAACUUACUGUACUUUGGUACCGAACUAGCAGAAUUUCUAAUUCUGGAACGGAAGGUUACUGGGUGCAGUCAAGUACUUGCGAAAUCAGUGCGUGAGUCAAGAUGGAAUUGUCCCCUCCUGGAAAUAGGAGAUAAUGGUGUGUUCAAUUUAGCAAAAUCUUGGCCAGGGCAAUCCUUGUGAUGAGUCACAGGAUUUCUAAAGUUGAUCACACAGUGGAUGUACUGAUUAGAGAGUUGACAGAACUCUGUGGUCAUCCUAGCAUUAGGAGUCAAAGGGAUGAAUUAUACAGUAACCAUAGUCUAGGGUUUCAGAAUAUUUGCUUCGCAUAUAUUCGGCCUAUCCAGAUGUCGGAUACCAUUGCUAGAUGGUCACAUCGAUUAGUGCAAGAAGUCGUUCCUGUACUAGAGGCUUAGGUUCGAACCAAUGAGGUCACACGCAUAGAAGUUUUCUGAUUGAUCAAAAUAGCUGAUGGAUGAUUGAGAAUCAUUUAGGA